UUGGUGUAGUGAUGGUGGGUGAGGCUAUAUAAGCUGGUUCUCUCGGGCGGGCGCUUCACCGUAGCUUUGUCCGCCAAGCUUUUAACACCGUUUUUCCAGCAACGUCCCCAGCAUCAUAGAUGAAGGGAGGCACUUUAGAGGGUCCUUCACUUCGCCUGAGAUUGGAGUCAACCCUGGCUAGCAACAGAGGCAGCCGCCUGGCCAAUUGUGGUAACCAGCUUGAACUCAGCGUACUUUCUCAGCUUCACAACGUUCCUUGAGGUCCCUCAAAGAAAACUGGCUGUUCUGCUUCGAUAGAAAUCUUCGUAAGUUCGGGCCAAUCAUUCUCCUGAUCAGGAGUGAAAUCCUGCCGUCAGCAGCAUAUAUAAAAGCUUGUGGUUUCACGUUCACUCGGCUCACAACACUCGCCGCCAAGAUGGUCCAAGAGCAGAGCUACAACCACACCAAAUGUGUCGCUGAUCACCACGCAAAAAAGUCUGCCUACAAAACCAUGGAGAUAGGCGGCUACGUACAGACCCCUAAGAACGUGAGUGCGACUGUAAACAAGGACAAGGACAAGAGCAAGGACCAAGGCCAGAAGGACGUGUGGGGACCCGUAUUCAAGAACAAACAACACUUCGUUGACAUGCAUAUCUGCUAGGACCAUCCACAGCCUAGCCUGGCUAGUGCUAAAUACACAUCGAAACUAACCCACAAACUAGUAACGAAAACUGGAUAUUUCAGCCUUGCCUAGGCAACAUCAAGAUUCUAGACAGACCAAAAUGACAAAAGUUUUAGCUUUCAUUUAAUGGGUUAGUUGUAAAAUGCAAGUCACAAAUCCGACUCCUAGCUUACAUAAAACUUAUUCAUAUAAUCAGUUACUCCAAAGAAUAAGGCACAGUACCGUAGAACAAUACACAAAUAAUCCACACGCGGGAGAAUGACACGACGUCAUGUUUCAUUCUCCAAUGUGUGGGUUAGUUGUGUAUCUAUUAUUGCAGUUGUAUGUUAAGACAAUAUGUAGUUUGUAGCAUUUUAUUGAAAGAUGUUUCGCCCACCUGGGACUUCAUCAGUUCUUUACACUGAUAAGAAUUAAGUCCCUGGUGGGCGAAACGUCUUUUCAAUAAAGUGUGAACAACCUCAUGUGUUGUUGACAUUUGUUGGUAUAUAAUACCACUGGUAAACAUUUUCAUGAUAACCCUCGUUCCCAUUAGUGUGUUCCACAAUUAUUUAAACUUUUUUUUUAGCCACUCCUGGUCACUUGUAUGCUGCCAUUCUUAUGUUCAUGUGAGUGAAAAGAGCUGGAAUUGAUUAGUACCUGAGGUGGUAUUAGAAAACCGAUAAGUUGAAGAAUGAGACACUGCAUUAUUAAGGAAUCUUUAUUGAGCUUCUGAAGCAAAUUCUUGGGUAGCUUUGGGAAAUGGUUUGACUAAUAGGUGGGUGGGAAAGGUUGGUUUUGAGAACUUGCUUUUUGUGGGCCAGUAGAUCUGCUGCAGUGUCCCUCCAUUCUUAUGUAAAUCCUUUUGCAUCUCAUUAAAAUUAUUAUAUUCAUGGGGAGCACUAAACCCAUAGGGAUCAUACUGUGCUUCGGGGAAUGGAAGGCUAAAUAUUCAGGCUUGAUUCAAGGAACAUGGAGCACCAGUUCAAGGAACCUCCCUUGAGGGGCCUUGCAUCUCAUAAUUCAUUAAUUUUUCUGUGUGUUUUUUUUAAUGUAUUUUGAUUGUGCUUUCUUGACGUGAAGGAUUCAGCUCAUUGUAAUUCUUCUCAUUAUUUUCCUUUAACUGAAGUGUAAUGAUCACUUGUCAAUGUUCAGUAAUAACUCGCAUGACAGAAACUCAAGAUUAAUUGAUCACCUUCUGGGAUCCUCUUCAGCAGAAGAGGAUAUACAGAUCACUCAAUCUUCUGAGUUUGUCUUCAUGUGGGUUAUUUUGAGCAUUUAUCUUUAAGCUUAUGGAGCUCGGGUUAAUCUUUCUGAAAUAUGGAGCACAGGUCAUGUGGGAACUCAUGACCUCUAAGUUAAAUUUCACCAUUAACGUUGAGCUGUAUGUUAUCCUGCGUUCAUCACGCUAGCCUUGACCAACUGGAUAAUGCUUGAAACUCUAAAGGUAAAAUAUAUACCGAGGCUGUCAAUUUGUGUUUUGUAUAUUCUGAGGUUUAACAAAUAUGAAAGCAAAUAAAUUAAUAAAGAUUC
Molecule: long non-coding RNA, 2170 nt
Organism: Cherax quadricarinatus
Lineage: Eukaryota; Metazoa; Arthropoda; Malacostraca; Decapoda; Parastacidae
Source: RefSeq, a predicted model, not a curated record